This 711-nucleotide long non-coding RNA is filed under the name Rattus norvegicus (Norway rat). RNAcentral describes it as "long non-coding RNA NONRATT010431". The record is from RNAcentral. Lineage: Eukaryota; Metazoa; Chordata; Mammalia; Rodentia; Muridae.
UCCCUAGUCUCUGGGCCCUUACAAUGUUAGCAAAACAGCUUUGCUGGGUCUCACUAAGAACUUUGCCGCAGAGUUGGCCCCAAAGAACAUUCGAGUGAACUGCUUGGCACCUGGACUCAUCAAGACUCACUUCAGCAGUGUGUUGUGGAAGGAGAAAGCAAGAGAAGAAAUGAUAAAAGAAACCAUGCAAAUUAGAAGGCUAGGCAAGCCAGAGGAUUGUGUCGGUAUAGUUUCCUUCUUGUGCUCUGAAGAUGCCAGUUACAUCAAUGGCGAGACAGUAGUGGUUGGGGGAGGAACCCCUUCUCGCCUCUGAGGACCUAGAGACAGCCUACCAGGGCAAGUGUGUGGGGAGGGUGCACUCCACCUUGUCUCUGUCGCCCUUCCUUGCCACCGCCAACAUCUUGUUCACCUCACAAAAUCAGCUCUGCCCAGUGUUAAGUUCCUGCUUUCCGUGUGGUCAAAGUGUGGUCAGAUGAGCAUCCUCGCUGUUGCUAUGGCCCUGAAAAGGGCUUUGGGGAGGGGGCGGGGAGCUAGGGGAUAGGUAGUGGAAACGGGGCUUGCUGAGAAGACUGUGGCUACUUUAGUGAAGAUCAAAUCCCUCUCAUUCUCGUCUCUGGAGACUUUAAAGGGAGAUAGAAGGAACGGACCUGAACAGAGAUGGAAAUUAACAAUUUACAAAUACGGUACAAAUAAAAUGAAGAUGAUCGCGUU